RNAcentral lists this ribosomal RNA (487 nucleotides) under uncultured bacterium. RNAcentral describes it as "partial 16S ribosomal RNA". It matches the Rfam family "Bacterial small subunit ribosomal RNA", at positions 355 to 852 of the family's 1533-position model. The record is from RNAcentral.
UGGGGAAUAUUGCACAAUGGGCGAAAGCCUGAUGCAGCGACGCCGCGUGAGGGAUGACGGCCUUCGGGUUGUAAACCUCUUUCAGCAGGGAAGAAGCGAAAGUGACGGUACCUGCAGAAGAAGCGCCGGCUAACUACGUGCCAGCAGCCGCGGUAAUACGUAGGGCGCAAGCGUUGUCCGGAAUUAUUGGGCGUAAAGAGCUCGUAGGCGGUUAGUCGCGUCUGCUGUGAAAACUCGAGGCUCAACCUCGGGCUUGCAGUGGGUACGGGCUGACUAGAGUGCAGUAGGGGUGACUGGAAUUCCUGGUGUAGCGGUGGAAUGCGCAGAUAUCAGGAGGAACACCGAUGGCGAAGGCAGGUCACUGGGCCGCAACUGACGCUGAGGAGCGAAAGCAUGGGGAGCGAACAGGGUUAGAUACCCUGGUAGUCCAUGCCGUAAACGUUGGGCACUAGGUGUGGGGUCCAUUCCACGGAUUCCGUGCCGCAGC